This is a long non-coding RNA of Homo sapiens (human), 953 nucleotides long. Ensembl annotates it as CD2AP divergent transcript. Its record names the gene CD2AP-DT. Lineage: Eukaryota; Metazoa; Chordata; Mammalia; Primates; Hominidae. The record is from Ensembl.
GGAGGCGGGACCCGCGCUCCGCGCUAGCCCCUCCUGAGCUCAGGCGGGGCGAAGAGUCGCCUCCAUCCGCCCGCGGCGCUCUCCUACCAGUCUCUUCAGCGCGGCCCUCGAGGCAGAGGCAAAGGCGGCGACAGCUCCUCACCCCUGGCCUCCCCAGGAGCCACGGCGGCGGGAGGGCCCUACCCCGCCCGCCCGACCGCGGUUUUCCCACCCUGGCCGCUCCCGCAGUGGGGAGGGACCCACCGGUUUGCCCAGACCCUCGGCUCCAACCCCGAGCGCCCGCCUAGCCUCGGAGCCCGCCCCUCGCCUCUUCCUUAGCACUCGCAGUUAGAAAAGGCGACACCGUAGACUAAGGUGGGGACCCAGACAGAGGCCGAGAAGGUGCGGGGAGCUGGGACCGGGAGGAGGCAAAUCUCGCGAGAACGCCCUCGUUCUCCCCGCCCCACCCCGCCCCGUCGCGUUCGGGCUCUCUCCCGGUCCCCACGGCUGCUGCCAGGUGCGGUGACGUCACGGCCGGGGGUCGCGCGCCGACCGCGUCCAGGUGCAGCGAGCGGAUGAGGAAGCGGUGCAGAGGAGCUUGGGCUCGCUCUCCCCCCGGAGGCUCGGAACAGCUUGGGCGGGCGUUUGGUCUGGUUUGUCGCCUCAGAUGGAUCAAAAGGUUUCUGCUGAUAGGCAAAGUUGCCCCACUUUCCGCGGCGGCGACGCGGAGUUACUUUCUGCAGCGAAGCAGCCUCGAGGACCUUAAAGGGAAAAGGCGGACAGAAGGAGGGCGAGCGCACUUGAUUUCGACCUUUAAGGGAGGCCCAGAUGCUGCCAGGCCCCUCAGUUUACCUUGCGAAGUUACUUACGGAUCAGCAGCAUUUGGUCUUCGUCGGGUGAGGGAGAAACCUAGGCAUCAAAUAAAUUCUGUUUCACAGAUUCCUUUAGUCUCUUGUCAGCUGAAUGCAACUUUA